AUCGCUUCUCGGCCUUUUGGCUAAGAUCAAGUGUAGUGUGUGUUCUUGUCAGUUUAAUAUCUGAUCGUCCUCUGUAUGAGGACAACAUAUUAAAUUGAUUUUAGAACUUUAUGCUCAUUUAAACCAUUUACAGUUCACUGCAUUGAUCUGUAAUUAUUUCCAAGUGAAAUAAAUCAUUU
Molecule: small nuclear RNA, 179 nt
Organism: Pygocentrus nattereri (red-bellied piranha)
Lineage: Eukaryota; Metazoa; Chordata; Actinopteri; Characiformes; Serrasalmidae
Gene: U2
Rfam family: U2 spliceosomal RNA
About the family: U2 is a small nuclear RNA (snRNA) component of the spliceosome (involved in pre-mRNA splicing). Complementary binding between U2 snRNA (in an area lying towards the 5' end but 3' to hairpin I) and the branchpoint sequence (BPS) of the intron results the bulging out of an unpaired adenosine, on the BPS, which initiates a nucleophilic attack at the intronic 5' splice site, thus starting the first of two transesterification reactions that mediate splicing.
Source: Ensembl